RNAcentral lists this small RNA (555 nucleotides) under Pongo abelii (Sumatran orangutan). RNAcentral's name for it is "processed transcript". Lineage: Eukaryota; Metazoa; Chordata; Mammalia; Primates; Hominidae. The record is from RNAcentral.
GGGAAACUUUAUUCCUUCAUUGAAACCAGCCUCGAAGAUGGAGUUCCAUGAUCAACAGGAAUCGACUCCCUCUGCAGCUGAGCCUUCAGACCAGAAGGAAAAGGAGUCAGAGAAGCAAAGUAAGCCUGGUGAAGACCUUAAACAUGCUGCCUUAGUUUCUCAGCCAGAGACAACUACAACUUACCCUGAUAAAAAGGACAUGCAAGGCACAGAAGAAGAAAAAGCACCCCCAGCUUUGUUUGGGCACACUCUUAUUGCCAGCCUGGAAGACAUGAAACAGAAGACAGAACCAAGCCUUGUAGUACCUGGCAUUGACCUUCCUAAAGAGCCUCCAACUCCAAAAGAACAAAAGGACUGGUUCAUCGAAAUGCCAACGGAAGCAAAAAAGGAUGAGUGGGGUUUAGUUGCCCCAAUAUCUCCUGGCCCUCUGACUCCCAUGAGGGAAAAAGACGUAUUUGAUGAUAUCCCAAAAUGGGAAGGGAAACAAUUUGAUUCUCCCAUGCCAAGUCCCUUUCAAGGUGGAAGCUUCACUCUUCCUUUGGAUGUCAUGAAGAA